This 426-nucleotide ribosomal RNA is filed under the name uncultured prokaryote. RNAcentral's name for it is "bacterial SSU rRNA". It matches the Rfam family "Bacterial small subunit ribosomal RNA", at positions 355 to 796 of the family's 1533-position model. The record is from RNAcentral.
UGGGGAAUUUUCCGCAAUGGGCGCAAGCCUGACGGAGCAACGCCGCGUGAGGGAGGAAGGCCUGUGGGUUGUAAACUUCUUUUCUCUGUGAAGAAGAUCUGACGGUAGCAGAGGAAUCAGCAUCGGCUAACUCCGUGCCAGCAGCCGCGGUAAGACGGAGGAUGCAAGCGUUAUCCGGAAUUAUUGGGCGUAAAGCGUCCGUAGGCGGUUUGUCAAGUCUGCUGUUAAAGACUACAGCUCAACUGUGGGAUGGCGGUGGAAACUGAUGAACUAGAGUGCGGUAGGGGUAGAGGGAAUUCCCAGUGUAGCGGUGAAAUGCGUAGAUAUUGGGAAGAACACCAGUGGCGAAGGCGCUCUACUGGGCCGCAACUGACGCUGAUGGACGAAAGCUAGGGGAGCGAAUGGGAUUAGAUACCCCCGUAGUCC